RNAcentral lists this microRNA precursor (84 nucleotides) under Bombyx mori (domestic silkworm). RNAcentral's name for it is "mir-2807 microRNA precursor family". It matches the Rfam family "mir-2807 microRNA precursor family". The record is from Rfam by way of RNAcentral. Lineage: Eukaryota; Metazoa; Arthropoda; Insecta; Lepidoptera; Bombycidae.
UUAACACGAAUUUGUAUGGAGUUGGAACAGCGCCCCUAGCGGGAAACGUAGGCAAACGUUCCAACUCCAUACAAAUUCGUGUUA